Molecule: ribosomal RNA, 254 nt
Filed under: uncultured bacterium
Lineage: Bacteria
Description: partial 16S ribosomal RNA
Rfam family: Bacterial small subunit ribosomal RNA
Source: RNAcentral
CACGGGGGGAGCAAGCGUUGUUCGGAUUUACUGGGCGUAAAGGGCGCGUAGGCGGCCACCGCAAGUCGACUGUGAAAUCUCCGGGCUUAACUCGGAAAGGUCAACUGAUACUGUGCGACUAGAGUGCGGAAGGGGCAACUGGAAUUCUCGGUGUAGCGGUGAAAUGCGUAGAUAUCGAGAGGAACACCUGCGGCGAAAGCGGGUUGCUGGGCCGACACUGACGCUGAUGCGCGAAAGCCAGGGGAGCGAACGGG